GAUGAACGCUGGCGGCGUGCUUAACACAUGCAAGUCGAACGGAAAGGCUCCUGCUUGCAGGGGUACUCGAGUGGCGAACGGGUGAGUAACACGUGGGUGAUCUGCCCUGCACUUCGGGAUAAGCCUGGGAAACUGGGUCUAAUACCGGAUAGGACCACAUUUUGGAUGGUGUGGUGGAAAGUUUUUCGGUGUGGGAUGAGCUCGCGGCCUAUCAGCUUGUUGGUGGGGUAAUGGCCUACCAAGGCGGCGACGGGUAGCCGGCCUGAGAGGGUGUACGGCCACAUUGGGACUGAGAUACGGCCCAGACUCCUACGGGAGGCAGCAGUGGGGAAUAUUGCACAAUGGGCGCAAGCCUGAUGCAGCGACGCCGCGUGGGGGAUGACGGCCUUCGGGUUGUAAACUCCUUUCGCUAGGGACGAAGCGUUUUUGUGACGGUACCUGGAGAAGAAGCACCGGCUAACUACGUG
RNAcentral lists this ribosomal RNA (467 nucleotides) under uncultured bacterium. Its description in RNAcentral is "partial 16S ribosomal RNA". It matches the Rfam family "Bacterial small subunit ribosomal RNA", at positions 28 to 507 of the family's 1533-position model. The record is from RNAcentral.